AUACGAAGGGGGCUAGCGUUGUUCGGAAUCACUGGGCGUAAAGCGCGCGUAGGUGGAUCAAUUAGUUGAGGGUGAAAUCCCGGGGCUCAACCUCGGAACUGCCUUCAAUACUUUUGAUCUUGAGACCGAGAGAGGUGAGUGGAAUUCCUAGUGUAGAGGUGAAAUUCGUAGAUAUUAGGAAGAACACCAGUGGCGAAGGCGGCUCACUGGCUCGGUACUGACGCUGAGGUGCGAAAGCGUGGGGAGCAAACAGGAUUAGAAACCCUAGUAGUCC
Molecule: ribosomal RNA, 274 nt
Filed under: uncultured bacterium
Lineage: Bacteria
Description: partial 16S ribosomal RNA
Rfam family: Bacterial small subunit ribosomal RNA
Source: RNAcentral